UAUAUGAGACCUAGUGGUCAGUUCCCAAACCUUGGAUCCUCUUCACUCCUUUUGAAACAAGAAGCAACUGGAAAUCCUGCCCAAGGCCUGAGUAAUCCAACGUGUCUACAGAACUCUCUUCUAGCAUCAUAUCUCAGAUGAAUCAAUCUUCUUAUCAAUUUCCCCGCCCAGCUUUCACAUCAGACAUGGAAAGAUGGAAUACAAUGGUGUUUUCUGCUGGCUGUUCAGUCCCAGAUAAUGAUCCAUGGGGAAACUGUCCUCCUUUGGCCACAUUCCAGUUUAUCAGCAAUUUUUUAAACUAGCGAUGCCCAUAGCUGGAUUCAGGCCAGUGAUGUGGAUUAUAACUCACAGGUGAGAUCUGACCAGAACAGACUGGUUCUAUUACUUCCCUUGAUCUGGACACUGUAACUCUGCAGAUGCAACUUAGAAUUGCACUAACUAUUUACAAUUUAUCUAUUUAUUUGGCUGUCAUCAAGACUCUUCCUCUCUUUGCUGUAACUUAAUCAAUGCACUGAUGCAUCUUGGCAAUGUGUAAGUUUUUAAAAAGAAAAUUCCAUGUAAGCUGCUGCAGCAGCCUGAAGAUAAAAUGAAAAUUAUUAUAAUAAAAAAGAACCAAGCAGGGAGAAAUGAUGGAUUGCUGGUAGAUAAGUCCUCCUCUGGAUACAAGAUUAAGUCAUUAGGAGACACUAAAUCUAGAAAGGGAUUUUGAUGGAAAAGACAUUUUUCAGCACUUCUAAUAUAAAGGCAAAGUACAGUUGGAAGUUGUAUAAGAUGCAUUAUGAGAUACAGGGAAUU
This is a long non-coding RNA of Anolis carolinensis (green anole), 795 nucleotides long. RefSeq lists it as uncharacterized. The transcript is spliced from 3 exons. The record is from RefSeq and is a predicted model, not a curated record. Lineage: Eukaryota; Metazoa; Chordata; Lepidosauria; Squamata; Anolidae.